CUUAGUAGUGGUGAGGAGGAGGGGGUGAAGCGUAGACAUAAUGGGGUGGUGGUGGUGGAGGAGACUUGUAUUUGUAAACUGGAGGAGGAGGUGGUGGAGACUUGUACUUGUAAGGGUGCUUGGGGGGUGAUGGUGGGGGUGGUGGGGGUGACUUGUACUUGUAGGGGUGCUUGGGUGGUGACGGUGGGGGUGGGGACUUGUACUUGUAAGGAUGCUUGGGGGGUGAUGGUGGUGGUGGUGGAGGUGACUUGUACUUGUAGGGGUGCUUGGGUGGUGACGGUGGGGGUGGGGACUUGUACUUGUAAGGGUGCUUGGGUGGUGACGGUGGUGGUGGUGGGGGGGACUUGUACUUGUAGGGAUGCUUUGGUGGGGAUGGUGGUGGUGGUGGUGGGGACUUGUACUUGUAGGGAUGCUUAGGUGGUGAUGGUGGUGGUGGUGGAGACUUGUAUUUGUAAGGAUGCUUUGGUGGUGAUGGUGGUGGAGGUGGUGGGGACUUGUACUUGUAAGGGUGCUUGGGUGGUGAUGGAGGUGGAGGUGGUGGAGACUUAUACUUGUAAACUGGAGGUGGUGGGGGUGGAGACUUGUACUUGUAAGGGUGCUUGGGUGGUGACGGAGGUGGAGGUGGUGGAGACUUAUACUUGUAAACUGGAGGUGGUGGGGGUGGAGACUUGUACUUGUAAGGGUGCUUGGGUGGUGAUGGUGGGGGUGGGGGUGGCGACUUGUACUUGUAGGGGUGUUUAGGUGGUGAUGGUGGUGGUGGUGGUGGUGGUGGGGACUUGUACUUGUAAGGAUGCUUGGGUGGUGAUGGUGGUGGAGGAGACUUGUACUUGUAAGGAUGCUUGGGUGGUGAUGGUGGUGGAGGUGGUGGAGACUUAUACUUGUAAACAGGAGUUGGUGGGGGAGGAGAUUUGUACUUGUAAGGUUUCUUGUGUGGUGGUGGUGGUGGAGGAGAGUAGAUCGGAGGAGGCGGUGGGGGAGACUUGUAAUGGUAGGGUGGUAGUGGGUUCUUCUUAGGAGGUGGUGGAGGAGAAGAAUAGGUGUAAUCUGCUGAGGUUUCAAAAGGCAAACUGAGAGAAACUGCUAGAACUAAAAGAGUGACAAAGAGAGAGGUCAUUGAUGACCCCAUUUUCCCCAUCUUUACUUCUAAAAAUGGGUUUAAUUUG
RNAcentral lists this long non-coding RNA (1163 nucleotides) under Gossypium barbadense (sea-island cotton). RNAcentral describes it as "long non-coding RNA (GBAR_LNC014012)". The record is from RNAcentral. Lineage: Eukaryota; Viridiplantae; Streptophyta; Magnoliopsida; Malvales; Malvaceae.